UGGGGAAUAUUGGACAAUGGGCGAAAGCCUGAUCCAGCCAUGCCGCGUGUGUGAAGAAGGCCUUUUGGUUGUAAAGCACUUUAAGCGAGGAGGAGGCUACUUAGAUUAAUACUCUAGGAUAGUGGACGUUACUCGCAGAAUAAGCACCGGCUAACUCUGUGCCAGCAGCCGCGGUAAUACAGAGGGUGCGAGCGUUAAUCGGAUUUACUGGGCGUAAAGCGUGCGUAGGCGGCUUUUUAAGUCGGAUGUGAAAUCCCUGAGCUUAACUUAGGAAUUGCCAUCGAUACUGGGAAGCUAGAGUAUGGGAGAGGAUGGUAGAAUUCCAGGUGUAGCGGUGAAAUGCGUAGAGAUCUGGAGGAAUACCGAUGGCGAAGGCAGCCAUCUGGCCUAAGACUGACGCUGAGGUACGAAAGCAUGGGGAGCAAACAGG
This 430-nucleotide ribosomal RNA is filed under the name Bacillota bacterium. RNAcentral's name for it is "Firmicutes bacterium partial 16S ribosomal RNA". It matches the Rfam family "Bacterial small subunit ribosomal RNA", at positions 355 to 776 of the family's 1533-position model. The record is from RNAcentral. Lineage: Bacteria; Bacillati; Bacillota.